CCUACGGGUGGCUGCAGUGGGGAAUAUUGCACAAUGGGGGGAACCCUGAUGCAGCGACGCCGCGUGAGUGAAGAAGUAUUUCGGUAUGUAAAGCUCUAUCAGCAGGGAAGAAAAUGACGGUACCUGACUAAGAAGCCCCGGCUAACUACGUGCCAGCAGCCGCGGUGAUACGGAGGGGGCAAGCGGUAGCCGGAUUUACUGGGUGUAAAGGGAGCGUAGCAGGGGAGGCCAGUCUGAAGGGAAAGCCCAAGGCUCAACCAUGGGACUGCUUUGGAAACUGUAAAACUGGAGUGCAGGAGAGGUAAGCGGAAUUCCUAGUGUAGCGGUGAAAUGCGUAGAUAUUAGGAGGAACACCCGUGGCGAAGGCGGCUUACUGGACUGUAACUGACGUUGUGGCUCGAAGGCGUGGGGAGCAAACAGGAUUAGAUACCCUGGUAGUC
This 440-nucleotide ribosomal RNA is filed under the name uncultured bacterium. RNAcentral describes it as "partial 16S ribosomal RNA". It matches the Rfam family "Bacterial small subunit ribosomal RNA", at positions 338 to 795 of the family's 1533-position model. The record is from RNAcentral.